AUUUAAAAUUGAAAUUGUAAGGCUGAAUGAAAGCCACAUGUUUUCUUUUCCGUUCUUCUUCUCUCAUUCUCUCCUCUUUCUUUCCUGAUGAGUUUUCUUUCUCAUUUUCUUCUCUUUCUUUCCUAUUUUUUCCCUUUCAUUCUUAGUUCUUUCUUUCCUUAAUGUUCUCUUUCUCAGAUCCGAACCAAAGCCAUAACAAAAGUUUGCAAUCCCAUUGUCGCAACAUCUCCAUGGCCACUGCUACAGCAGCUCCGACAGCCAUCAAUGUAGCAGCUCGCGAUCUAGACAAUAGUGGCGCCACCGUGAGCAAAUCUCGGCUCCUGUGGCGCCGUCGUGAGCAGAUCUCUUAGAGAUUCUUGUGACAGUAGAUUUGAUACUCUCUGUAGACUUUAUGGAUUUGAAAAUAGCUUAAUGGAUUUUGUGAUGAAUUUCGGUGAAUGGUUUUAAUUAUGUGGUGGUUGUUGAUUUGUAAUUGAUUCUUAGUUUUGGGUGGAAGAGAAUUUGUAAAGUUUUCUAUGAUGGGUGAGAAAUUUGUUUGGACGGAGAGAAAACUGAAGACCUUUUGUGUUAGAAGGCAAUUUUGAUGAGAAUUGUUUUUAGGGAGGCUUUCUUUGGUGAUAAAAAAAAAAAAUGUUACUCGAAAUGUUAUUCUUGAUCGUUAAUCCCUCAUUUAUUAAUAUAUUCAUUAUUUAUCAACAUUAAUCAUUUUACCGUUAAUUGACAAUUCAAAUUGCGCUGUCUCCUGGCACCAUUUCCUCUCUUCAUUUCUUCUCUUCCUUUCUCUUUCAUUGUGACUUAGACGCAUAUAAAACUAUUUUCCUCAUUUCUUCAAUUGAUCUUGAAGACCUGUUUAAGCGUAAUUUCCUCUCUUUUCUUUCUUUCUUUCAUUUUUGUUUUGUUCUUAAUUUGACUUUAAGUUUAUUUUGUUUUGAAACCCUAAUUCUUGCUGUUUGUUAUUCUGCAAGAAGUUGAAAAUUGUAAAAUUUGCCAAUCCUGAUCAAUAUUUAAGACCCAUUUAACUUUAUUCUGCAGGAGGUUGCAAAUCGUAUAAUUCGCUAGCCCUGAUCGAUCUUGAAGACCUAUUUAAUGUUAUUUCCUCCCAUUCUUCUUUUCUUUUGUUCUUAAUUUGAUUUUUAAAUUAUUUUCUUUUAGUUGGCUUGAAACCCUAAUUCUUGUUGUUUCAAUUUGUUUUUCUGCAAGAAGUUGCAAGUUGUAAAAGCCAUUUGUCCUGAUUGAACUUGAAGACCUAUUAAAUAUAAUUCCCCCUUUUCUUUUUUCCUUCUUCUUUUGUUCUUAAUUUGACAUUUUGAGUUGGCUUGAAAACCCUAAUUCUUUGUAUUGUGAUGAUCAUAAGAGGUCUGGUCUGGAUGCUAUCUUUGAUAUAUAUUCAACUUUGCAAGAUGAUGAUGCAAGAACAAACAAGUUAGAUGUGAGCUUUCCCAUGCAUUUAACUGGAUUUCAAGAAAGGGAUACAGUGAAGCAUAGUUGAAAGAAUGUGUGGAGGAAAAUGCAGCAUUAAACGUGUGGCCGAGACAUCCCCAUACAUUUGAUAUCCUCUUUACUGAUGCUUGGUGUGCCCUUCUCGUAAAUCAUUUAGAGGAAGCAAUGCCUUUUCAAAAAUUGAAGUGGUUUGUUUAACUGGUUUUUAAAAUAUUAUUCAAUGGGGAGUACUACUGUAUCAUGGCUUGCUUCAAAAGUUUCUUUAAUUAUUAGAGCUAGUUAGAAUUAUAAACUUAAGUUGCUAGAGCGUUUUGUAUUGUAUUGAGCUUAGUUUUGAAGCAUGAGUCUUCUCAACCCAUAUCCAUGAGGCAUUUACUCCAAUUUUUUGGAUGAGCUGGGGUUCAAAAUUAGUAAUAUAAAUAGUUAUUUCAUGCUCUCGCCAACACUUUUGUUACUAAAUUUCAACCAUUUUGAUGCUAUGCGUAGAGGAUUUUGAAGAAGGCAGUAUUAUUAUGCGUAGAGGAUUUUGAAGAAGGUGGUAUAAAUAAUACUCUCAGUGGGUGGCUUUUGCUAUUGUACAAUCUAUAAUCCUAGGUGUAAAGUCCGUUGUAGUGGUAUAUCUAUUCCAGAACAGGAAUGUUGAUUGUUAAAGGUGUCAUUCUCGGCAGCUCAAAAUUCUUGUUGCCGUUGUGCACCUAUUUUAGUCUGACUUUACUUGAAUAUUGAGAGUUUUGAGAGAAAACAGAGAGAAAAACAAAGAGAAGGUUCUGAAAAA
This is a long non-coding RNA of Pistacia vera, 2215 nucleotides long. RefSeq lists it as uncharacterized. The transcript is spliced from 3 exons. NCBI's taxonomy places the organism in Eukaryota, Viridiplantae, Streptophyta, Magnoliopsida, Sapindales, Anacardiaceae. The record is from RefSeq and is a predicted model, not a curated record.